AUGAAUCUCAUCAGUUGGAACUGCCGGGGGGCGGGGAACUCCCGGACAGUUCUUGAAAUUGCGACGAUCUCUCAGUCGCAUUCCCCCAUGCUAGUCUUUCUCUGUGAGACUAGACAAAAAGCUUCAAAAAUGAGAAGGACACGAUCUCGUAUUGGCUUAAAAGGUUUUGAUGGUGUUGAUAGUUCUGGGAUGAGUGGGGGACUAACUCUCUUCUGGCACGAGUCCUAUUUGGUGGAGAUCAUGGACAAAAAUGAC
RNAcentral lists this ribosomal RNA (255 nucleotides) under Triticum aestivum (bread wheat). RNAcentral describes it as "partial small subunit ribosomal RNA". Lineage: Eukaryota; Viridiplantae; Streptophyta; Magnoliopsida; Poales; Poaceae. The record is from RNAcentral.